This 554-nucleotide long non-coding RNA is filed under the name Prunus persica (peach). Its description in RNAcentral is "long non-coding RNA (PPER_LNC000040)". Lineage: Eukaryota; Viridiplantae; Streptophyta; Magnoliopsida; Rosales; Rosaceae. The record is from RNAcentral.
CUGGUUGACAAAACAAUUGUUAAGGUUGCAUUGCUAAUGAGAUUGAAUCAUUUAUUAACGGAGCUGUUCACAAAUUUUGGCUAUAGUAUAUGCUGGAGAUGCUCUUGUUCGAAGAGGCUAAGAUGUUCCUCCAUUCUCUUGGCAAUGCUAAAUUCCUGAGGUGGGGUUUCAAGCCUGAGGAAUAUAAUUAUAUUCAACACAUGACAUGACGAGAGAGACAGAGACAAUAAUGCUAAAUACAACACGUCGCAAAAGAGUUUCUGUCCCCUCCUCCAUACAUAGUUAUAACUUAUAAGGACAAGAAUGAGCUUCAUUUUUGUCACAUAUACCUGGGACACUAUAGCUAGCUGGUCACCUUGCAUGUAAUAUGCAUAGCGAAAUGUAAAUGUGCAUAAGUACACUGUGUCACAUUUUCAAUAGUUAGUAACUAAGCAAAGCAAGCAUGGUGGUGGUGAUCAGGAUAUGAGAGCCAAGCUUUCUUUGCUGAUCUUGUUCCUAAUUUCCACUCUUCUUGCUUCCUCUGUGUGCUGCCAUAGAAGUCUUGCCGGCGUCGG